UUUGAAGGGGAGCCGAAAGGCUGAGAGGAAGGAAACAGCAUUUCUGUUGUGAGACUUCGACCCGUUAACCUGAUUUGGAUAAUGCCAACGUAGGGAGGAAAAGAUAU
This 107-nucleotide non-coding RNA is filed under the name bovine gut metagenome. The record is from RNAcentral.